UACUCGGAUAACUGUGGCAAUUCUAGAGCUAAUACGCGCAAUAAAGCUCGGACCUUUCGGGAAGAGCGCAUUUAUUAGACCAAAACCAAUCGGGCUUCGGCCUGAGCUGUGGUGACUCUGAAUAACUAAGCUGAUCGCACGGUCUUAGUACCGGCGACGCAUUUUUCAAAUGUCUGCCUUAUCAACUUUCGAUGGUAGUUUAUGUGCCUACCAUGGUUGUAACGGGUAACGGAGAAUAAGGGUUCGACUCCGGAGAGGGAGCCUGAGAAACGGCUACCACAUCCAAGGAAGGCAGCAGGCGCGCAAAUUACCCACUCUCGGAACGAGGAGGUAGUGACGAAAAAUAACGCCUCAAGUGGUCUAAGAGGCCCUGCCAUCGGAAU
RNAcentral lists this ribosomal RNA (383 nucleotides) under Tardigrada environmental sample. RNAcentral describes it as "bacterial SSU rRNA". It matches the Rfam family "Eukaryotic small subunit ribosomal RNA", at positions 136 to 515 of the family's 1831-position model. The record is from RNAcentral. Lineage: Eukaryota; Metazoa; Tardigrada.